Molecule: ribosomal RNA, 497 nt
Filed under: uncultured bacterium
Lineage: Bacteria
Description: partial 16S ribosomal RNA
Rfam family: Bacterial small subunit ribosomal RNA
Source: RNAcentral
GAUGAACGCUGGCGGCGUGCCUAAUACAUGCAAGUCGAGCGAACAGACGAGGAGCUUGCUCCUCUGACGUUAGCGGCGGACGGGUGAGUAACACGUGGAUAACCUACCUAUAAGACUGGGAUAACUUCGGGAAACCGGAGCUAAUACCGGAUAAUAUAUUGAACCGCAUGGUUCAAUAGUGAAAGACGGCUUUGCUGUCACUUAUAGAUGGAUCCGCGCCGCAUUAGCUAGUUGGUAAGGUAACGGCUUACCAAGGCAACGAUGCGUAGCCGACCUGAGAGGGUGAUCGGCCACACUGGAACUGAGACACGGUCCAGACUCCUACGGGAGGCAGCAGUAGGGAAUCUUCCGCAAUGGGCGGAAGCCUGACGGAGCAACGCCGCGUGAGUGAUGAAGGUCUUCGGAUCGUAAAACUCUGUUAUUAGGGAAGAACAAAUGUGUAAGUAACUAUGCACGUCUUGACGGUACCUAAUCAGAAAGCCACGGCUAACUACGUG